CAAUAGCGUAUAUUUAAGUUGCUGCAGUUAAAAAGCUCGUAGUUGGAUUUCGGGUGGGAAUGGCCGGUCCGCCGUUUCGGUGUGCACUUGCUACGCCCACCUUGCUGCCGGGGACGUGCUCUUGAGUUCACGCUCGGGACACGGAGUCGGCGAGGUUACUUUGAGUAAAUUAGAGUGUUCAAAGCAGGCCUACGCUCUGAAUACAUUAGCAUGGAAUAACACGAUAGGACUCUGGCCUAUCUUGUUGGUCUGUAGGACCGGAGUAAUGAUUAAGAGGGAUAGUCGGGGGCAUUCGUAUUUCAUUGUCAGAGGUGAAAUUCUUGGAUUUAUGAAAGACGAACUACUGCGAAAGCAUUUGCCAAGGAUGUUUUCAUUAA
Molecule: ribosomal RNA, 377 nt
Filed under: uncultured eukaryote
Lineage: Eukaryota
Description: partial 18S ribosomal RNA
Rfam family: Eukaryotic small subunit ribosomal RNA
Source: RNAcentral